Molecule: transfer RNA, 67 nt
Filed under: Hebardina concinna
Lineage: Eukaryota; Metazoa; Arthropoda; Insecta; Blattodea; Blattidae
Description: tRNA-Asp
Source: RNAcentral
GAAAUAUUAGUUAAAGUUAUAUAACAUUAUCUUGUCAAGAUAAAAUUAUUUAUAAAAAUAUAUUUCU